GACGAACGCUGGCGGCGUGCUUAACACAUGCAAGUCGAACGGUAAGGCCCUGCCGGUGUGGGGUGCUCGAGUGGCGAACGGGUGAGUAACACGUGAGUAACCUGCCCCUGACUGUGGGAUAACUUCAGGUAACUGGGGCUAAUACCGGAUAGGAGCUCCUGCUGCAUGGUGGGGGUUGGAAAGUUUCGGCGGUUGGGGGUGGACUCGCGGCGUAUCAGCUUGUUGGUGGGGUAGUGGCUUACCAAGGCUUUGACGGGUAGCCGGCCUGAGAGGGUGACCGGCCACAUUGGGACUGGGAUACGGCCCAGACUCCUACCGGAGGCAGCAGUGCGGAAUGUUGCACAAUGGGCGGAGGCCUGAUGCAGCAACGCCGCGUGCGGGAUGGCGGGCUUCGGGUUGUGAACCGCUUUCGCCUGUGACGAAGCGUAUGUGACGGUAAUGGGUAAAGGAGCACCGGCUAACUACGUG
This 468-nucleotide ribosomal RNA is filed under the name uncultured bacterium. RNAcentral describes it as "partial 16S ribosomal RNA". It matches the Rfam family "Bacterial small subunit ribosomal RNA", at positions 28 to 507 of the family's 1533-position model. The record is from RNAcentral.